Sinocyclocheilus grahami is the source of this 671-nucleotide long non-coding RNA. RefSeq lists it as uncharacterized. The record is from RefSeq and is a predicted model, not a curated record. NCBI's taxonomy places the organism in Eukaryota, Metazoa, Chordata, Actinopteri, Cypriniformes, Cyprinidae. The transcript is spliced from 3 exons.
CAUCUUUUUAUAGCUCCUAGAAUGAGCAAAUCAGCUGUGCAUCAUCUCUGGGAUUUGGGCAGAAAAUGACUGAAUAUGGAAGAUGAAGCCAGUUGAUGAAGAUAUCAAUUCAAUGGCCACCAAGUACUGCACUGCUGCCUGAACCCAUCAGGAAUCUGCUGUGAAGACUGCGUUCACAAACAGCUCUACUGUGACAGCGCAGAUGUUACAGCCCAUAAAAGUAAAUUUCACAACUGAACAACUGCAAGAUAGUUGUGGAGGGAUUCUUUUGGCCCAUACCUCCAACAAACUCCAGUAAGAAUCAAUGGACAUCUACACCAGGUGGUGUGUGAGGAGGACCGUCAGAGACUCCACCCACCCGAGCCAUGGACUGCUCUCACCAUUACAGAACCUGCACCAGCAGACAGCGAGACAAGUUAUUUCCACAGGCAAUCAGACUGAACUGAACUCGUACCAGUAACACCACACAGCACACCCCACCAACCUCAUAUGCACUAUCAGUUACGCUGACUGGACUCCCUAUUAUUCUGCACCCUGACAUUCUGUUUGCACUAAUUCAUACCGUGCUGCACUGCAAAGGUAUAUGUGUACUGUGAUUAUUAUUGUUUUCAUUUCAUGAGCUGUAUAGCAUAACAUUUACAAUAUAUUGUUCUCUACCUGCAUUGAGUCCC